RNAcentral lists this ribosomal RNA (314 nucleotides) under uncultured bacterium. RNAcentral describes it as "bacterial SSU rRNA". It matches the Rfam family "Bacterial small subunit ribosomal RNA", at positions 28 to 334 of the family's 1533-position model. The record is from RNAcentral.
GAUAAACGCUGGCGGCGCACAUAAGACAUGCAAGUCGAACGAACUUAACCAUUAGUUUACUAUUGGUAGCGGUUAGUGGCGGACUGGUGAGUAACACGUAAGCAACCUGCCUAUCAGAGGGGAACAACAGUUAGAAAUGACUGCUAAUACCGCAUAAGACCACAGCACCGCAUGGUGCAGGGGCAAAAACUCCGGUGGUAUGAGAUGGACCCGCGUCUGAUUAGGUAGUUGGUGGGGUAACGGCCUACCAAGCCGACGAUCAGUAGCCGACCUGAGAGGGUGACCGGCCACAUUGGGACUGAGACACGGCCCAA